RNAcentral lists this long non-coding RNA (5398 nucleotides) under Homo sapiens (human). Its description in RNAcentral is "HSALNT0220295". Lineage: Eukaryota; Metazoa; Chordata; Mammalia; Primates; Hominidae. The record is from RNAcentral.
CAGCCAGCAACUGCUACCCUCUUUGGGUCCCCUCCAUUUGUAUGCGAGCUCUGUUUUCACUCUAUUUCACUCUAUUAAAUCUCCCAACUGCACUCUUCUGGUCUGUGUUUGUUACGGCUGGAGCUGAGCUUUCGCUCGCCGUCCACCAUUGCUGUUUGCCGCCGCCACAGACCUGCCGCUGACUUCCAUCCCUCCGGAUCCGGCAGGGUGUCUGCUGUGCUCCUGAUCCAGUGAGGCGCCCCUUGCCGCUCCCGAUUGGGCUAACGGCUUGAGAUUGCUCCUGCACGGCUAAGUGCCCAGGCAAUGACACUCCAACAGCAAUGAGCAUGUCUAAUGCAGAAAUCUUGGUUUCUAACACCAUCCUUCAAUAAAAGGAAUCAAGGAUCCUUGGAGAAGCAGGUGAUUGUAAGACGGGCAGAAGAUAUACAAGACGACCCUGCAGCAUCUUGUAGUGCCUGAAAGUAAGAAAGUGUUCAAAACAAAUCUACAUUGAUGGAGGCAUGAAAGCCAACUGAAAGAGCUCCCAAUGGUCAAAACUGGAAAGAUUCGAGGGAGAAAUGACUGCCAUAAGAUAACCAGCAGUGUUUGCCACACCGGGUAAUAACGUGGAUUAUGUUUCAGAUGGAACUUCUUUCACCUGCCCUCCCCUGGCCACUUGCUAUCUGAGCAUUUAUUGAGCACCCAUUUUGUGUUAGUGCUGAGAAUAUGAUGUUGAACAAAAUAUGGUCCUUGACCUCAGGAGUCAUGGUGCUCUCAUUAGGUGGUCUGGUGGAGAGAGGUGUUGCUAACGUAAGGAGGCAGGAAAAAUUCAAGAAGUGAGGGAGUUAGGGGUAAGUAUGUCCAAGGCAGUGAAAAAGGGAUUAUUUAGGUAUUAAUGAGGCUUUAGGGCCUUCAAAAUCAGGAACCGAAUCACCUUUCCUCAGCAUGUAUAUAUAUGUAUAUAUAUACAUAUAUAUAUACACACAUAUAUAUAUAUUCCCCAGCAUGUAUAUAUGUGUGUGUGUAUAUAUAUAUACGUGUAUAUAUAUAUAUAUAUAUACGUAUAUAUAUAUAUGAUAGUCCUGAGGUGGUAAUGAUACUGAUGGGCUGGGGUAGGUCCACAAACACUAGUGGGACCUUGACCUCAACCGGUAUCCAGGCUCUUGACACCAUCACAAGAAGAAAUUCAGGGAUGAGUCAGAAAAUAGUGAAAAGAUGAAGAUUUAUUGCAAAGCGAAAAGUACACACUCAAGAAAGGGGAGUGCAGGUGUACUCAAGAGAGUUGCACACAAGGUUUUCGGGUACUAUCUUUAUGGGUUUCUGUAACCAAGGGGUGACAUAUUCAUGAAGAUUCCUGGAAAAAGGUGAAGAUUUCUCAAAACUGUGGUGCCACCCACUUUUGCACUAAAUAAUGGGUGUUCCUGGAAGUGUCAUGGUGCUGGUGGGCAUGUGAUUACGUUAAUGAGCAUAUAAUGAGGUUCUAGGAGAAACCUACGUCAAAUCCAGUGACAUGUUGGGUUCAGUCAGUCUUAGCCAUCUUGGUCCACACCCUGUUUCUCAGGGUCUUAUCAGCCCAUAGCCUCUGCAGCUAUUUCAACAGUUGCCUUUUGCUAGUCAUAUGAAAUUGUUGCCUGGAAUUUUCUAAUCUCCUACGGCCACCUUAUAUUAUUCCUCUCUCAGUAGUAUAACUCUGACUAUAAAAUUAAGAUCUAAUCAUCUACAGCACUCAUAGACAUUAUCUUUAAACUAAUUCCACAGGCAAAAGGCUAAUUACAGGGUUUUUGUAGCCUUUUGUUGGUAUAUAGAACUCUAUAUGCUGUAUGUUUUUAUGGAGGCUGCCUGGAAUUUGCUGUAUUGUUUCUGAGGCUGUCCUUUACACUUCAAAAAUUUCUUAUGAGCAUUUAUGUCAAGAUUAAGGAAGCCAAGGUAAUAGAAAUAGGCCAACACUUGGUGAAUUAUUGGAAAGUUUAUAUAGGCAGCUACAUACAUAAGAUUAGCCAUCCUUGGAAGAUUGAACUCAUUUCAUUUACUCUCUCCCCAAUAAUAAUGAAGAUUCUACAAUGGAAACAGGAGUAAAUAUGUAAUGUAUUUUUUAUUGAUAUUAAAAUACAUGAGAUAAUAUUAUUUGUAUUUCCAGACUUGAGGCCAUCCUCUGUAUCUCCACCCCUGACCACUCCCUUGACCACAUACAUAUCCAGUUACCUAGAGCACUGGAUGACCGGCAAGCAUCUCAAGUCUCAAAUGCAACUACUCAAGCUCCUUCCUCCCUCACUCAUGCUGCAUCUCAAGAAGAUGUAAGCCAAUUAUCCAGAGGCACUGAGGGUCCUAUGCGACUGCACCAUCAUAUCCCACAACCUGCUAUUCACUGUUAUUCUGCUUGUCCAGUCCAUCUCCCUCCUCUCAAUCUCCCCUCUGCCCUAGUUCAGGCUGCCAUCAUUUAUUCGUUUAUUUGUUCAGUAAGUAUUUCUUGAGUACAUAUCAUGUGCCAUUCAUAUUCUGUGCCUCAAAUAGAAUAAGCAGUGAACAAAACACUCAGUGAACGUCACUGAACAAAACUGACACAAAACCUGCCUUCACAGAGUUUGCAUUCAGGUGGAAAGGGAAAUAAAACAGAUAAGCAAAAUACACAUUGCUAGAAAGUUAUGGGUGUAUAGGAGAAAAAAUAAAGCAGAGAAGAAGGACAUGACAUUUAGAGGUGGGGUUGAAAGGUCUCAAUAAGGAGGUGACUUUUGUGUAGACUUGAGAAGGAAAUGAGGGGGCUAGCGUUGUGGAUAUCUGGGGCAAAGCCUCCAGAGGAAAGAGUAUGGUAAAAGUCCCUGGAGUGAGAUUAUGCCUGGCCUGUUCUAGGCAUGGCAAAGGGGCCAGUGGGAAUGGAGUAAAGUGAGCAAGGAGGAAAGGAGUAGAGAGGGAUGGAGUGAAGUCAGAGAGCUAAUAAAGACAAGAUGCCGUAGGUCAUUUUCUCAGUGAAUGGGAAGCAAAGCCAUCAACUGAGAAUUGAAGUGAUGUUCCUGUAAACAAUUUAGUACCUUUGCCUUUUUUGUUUGUUUGUUUUGUUUUUCUUGGUACCUUUGCAUUUUGAGGCACAUUUUUAUACCUAUUUGUUGGAGAUUCACCUAGGGAUAGAAAUGUGGGGUUGUAUAGGAUGUAAAUGGAAUCAAAUAGAUUUUUUAGGAUUAAAUUUUUUCUGAUUUUAAAAGUAGGAAAUACAAAAGUGUUUAAAGAAGUAAAUAUCACCUGUGACCACCUCUCCCAGAAAUAAGUAUAUUUUAUAAGUAUACUUUAAUAUAUUUUAUUUAAGUAUAUUAAUUUUUCAAUGUGAUUAAUGCCAAAAGGAGAGUAUAAGCCAAUUUUAUGUAUAGCUUGAUUACAAUUAUAAAAAUGUGCUUAGAGAAAAAAGGAUCAGAAAGGAGCAUAACAAUAUGCUAACGGGUUAUGUUAGUAAAAAUAUAUGUGACUUCCUUUCUCUAUUUCUAAAAAUGUCUGCAAUCUUAUAAUAUUCUUAAUGAGAAAAAUUAAUUUUACAAGCUUUUUAAAAAUAGCUUUUUUUUUUUUUGUUUUUAAACAAAGAUAUUUGUUUUGGCAGUCCUCAAAGGAAACUUCUAGAAUUACUAUACAACUGUAUUGACCUAGCGUUUGCCAGAAUAAUUCUUUUUUUCAUUCAUUGUGACAUGGUACACCACUUUAUAGGACUGGAUUUGCAUAGAAAAUACUAUUGAAAUAACAGAAGGUACCUAUUACUGCCUGUAUAUUCUGCCAACGUUUAGGAAAUACUGCCACCAGGUGGAUGGUAGGAAUUUAGCUUUUGUCCCUUGAUUUCAUGUAUCCUUCCUGUUGCCUUAAUUCUGUACAGAAAGUAAGAACAGACAAAACUGACUCUCUGUGUGUGUGUAUGUGUGUGUGUGUGUUUAAACACUGGGGGCUUUGGUUGAACCAGGAGGGUAAGCUCAGACAGUUGCUUAUGUAUGUGUGAACCAAGGAGGAAAGAUGAAAUCCCAACUAAGAGGACAGCUGAAGUGGAAAUCUUGGACAGACUGGAUUUCACAUCCAGCACACUGAGUAAUGCAUGCUGAUUCUAAUUUUAGGGUCUAUCCUAAAGAAAUAAUUAUGGAUACUUUAAGAUUUAACACUGAUGCUGCAAAGACUUAACAUUGGUGUUUAUUGCAGUGUUUAUUUUUACUAAGUAAAACAAGAAUCUAAAUAUCUUGCGAUUGAGGAUUAAUUGAAUAAAUAAUGAUACGUCUCUGCAAUUAACCACUCUUUGACCAUUAAAAUGAGGUUUAAAAGUAUGUAAUGACAAUGAAUGAUGUUUAUGAUAUACUUUUGAGUGAAAAAUGGAGAUAACAAAGUAGUAUAUGCCACACACAGCUAAAAAACUAUAAGGGUAUACAUAAAAAUAUUAGCAAUAACAAUAGUAAUUAACAUAUAUUCAGUGCUUACUAUGUGCCAGAGAAAUUAAAAUACCUAUCUUGGACCUGCCUUGUCCUCCCUUCUCUAAUUUAGUCCUUCUAGUGCUUCUCACUGCUUUUAUAUCAGUUUCUAUUGGGCUCUAGACCCUUUGGAAAAUCUUGUAGAGCAUAUGGGCCCCAGAGAGACAUUUAAAAACACAUAAUAUGAAAUACAAAGCAUUAAACAGGAAAUCAAUUACAUUGGAAUACAGUUAUUAAAAUAUCAAAAAAUCAAAUUUGUGAUAUAGUUUUAUAUAUACACAUACAUCUUUUUUUAUUAUUAUACUUUAAGUUCUAGGGUAGAUGUGCACAACGUGCAGGUUUGUUUACAUGUGCCAUGUUGGUUUGCUGCACCCAUCAACUCAUCAUUUACAUUAGGUAUUUCUCCUAAUGCUGUCCCUCCCCCAGCCCCCCAUCCCCCAACAGGCCCCAGUGUGUGAUGUUCCCCACCCUGUGUCCAAGUGUUCUUAUUGUUCAGUUCCCACCUAUGAGUGAGAACAUGCAACGUUUGGUUUUCUGUCUUUGUGAUAGUUUGCUGGGAAUGAUGGUUUCCAGCUUCAUCCAUGUCCCUGCAAAGGACAUGAACUCGUCCUUUUUUAUAGCUGCAUAGUAUUCCAUGGUGUAUAUGUGCCACAUUUUUCUUAAUCCAGCCUAUCAUUGAUGGACAUUUGGGUUAGUUCCAAGUUUUUGCUAUUGUGAAUAGUGCCGCAAUAAACAUACGUGUGCAUGUGUCUUUAUAGUAGCAUGAUUUAUAAUCCUAUAGGUAUAUACCUAUACCUAUAGGUAUAGGUAUUGGUAUAGGUAUUGGUAUAGGUAUAGGUACAGGUAUACCUAUACCAAUCCCAGUAAUGGGAUUGCUGGGUCAAAUGGUAUUUGUAGUUCUAGAUCCUUCAGGAAUUGCCACACUGUCUUCCACAAUGGUUGAACUAAUUUAUACUCCCACAAACAGUGUAAAAGUGUUCCUAUUUCUCCAC